GAUGAACGCUGGCGGCGUGCUUAACACAUGCAAGUCGAACGGUGAAGCCAAGCUUGCUUGGUGGAUCAGUGGCGAACGGGUGAGUAACACGUGAGCAACCUGCCCUGGACUCUGGGAUAAGCGCUGGAAACGGCGCCUAAUACUGGAUAUGAGCCUCUUCCGCAUGGUGGGGGUUGGAAAGAUUGUUUGGUCUGGGAUGGGCUCGCGGCCUAUCAGCUUGUUGGUGAGGUAAUGGCUCACCAAGGCGUCGACGGGUAGCCGGCCUGGGAGGGUGACCGGCCACACUGGGACUGAGACACGGCCCAGACUCCUACGGGAGGCAGCAGUGGGGAAUAUUGCACAAUGGGCGAAAGCCUGAUGCAGCAACGCCGCGUGCGGGAUGACGGCCUUCGGGUUGUAAACCUCUUUUAGCAGGGAAGAAGCGAAAGUGACGGUACCUGCAGAAAAAGCGCCGGCUAACUACGUG
Molecule: ribosomal RNA, 466 nt
Filed under: uncultured bacterium
Lineage: Bacteria
Description: partial 16S ribosomal RNA
Rfam family: Bacterial small subunit ribosomal RNA
Source: RNAcentral